RNAcentral lists this long non-coding RNA (605 nucleotides) under Oryza brachyantha (malo sina). RNAcentral's name for it is "long non-coding RNA (OBRA_LNC002472)". The record is from RNAcentral. Lineage: Eukaryota; Viridiplantae; Streptophyta; Magnoliopsida; Poales; Poaceae.
UCAGACAGACAGUCUCUCUCUCUCCCCAAUAUGAUCAGAGUACGUGUUUGUUUCUCUCUCUAGACAUGCAUGAAUGUCUCUUUCUCUUUCUCUUUCUCUCAUCUCAAAUCUCUCCCUCUCAUCUCAAAUCUCUCUGACAAAGAGAAGUCAUAUCGUCGAGGAAAGCAGUAAAAUACUCUGCUGGGUGACUGACAGCAACUUCAAUGCCCCCCUCUUCCCUCUUUCUCAUUCUUUCACCCUUUCUCUCUCUAAGUCUUUCUCCUUCUCCUUCUCUCUCUAGCUGUGUGGCCUCUCCUUUCAGGCCCGGCCCUCUCUUGCCCUCCCCCAUCUUGGGCAACGUUAUUUUACUGUGCCCCUGUUACUAUUCCUAAUGUCCAACCUUUUUGACCAAGCAGCCAUGGAUGUUCUGAGGUGGCCGCCCAUGCAUACGUUUGACCGACCGACCGUGCGCGCGCGUCGAGCUUCGGAGAAAACACGAGGUCGAGAAAAAAUGUCGAACCAUCAAGAACAACGGUUAUGGGUUAGGGUUUAAAAUUUAGGGUCGUUGUGUUUUACGUUCGGCUUUGUUUCUUUUUUCUUUUGUUGACUAUUUGCUUAUCCAUGCG